Molecule: long non-coding RNA, 419 nt
Filed under: Androctonus crassicauda
Lineage: Eukaryota; Metazoa; Arthropoda; Arachnida; Scorpiones; Buthidae
Source: RNAcentral
GUCAGAGUCAACCUCUUCAUAAUACUACUAAUCACAUGAUAAAGAAUAUCAAACCCCCAAUACAAGUUCACAAAUAUUCUGGAGUAUACACUAUACCAAUCUAUAAUAAUGCCCCUACACAACAUGAAAUAUGCAUAGGUAGUACAGUAAGAGCUUUAGCAAUCAGAUUUAAAGAGCAUAAAAAUGAUAUACAGGCAGUUAGACUAAUGACUGCAUUGGCAAAGAAGGUCUAUGAAUAUAAUAUAAAUGUUUUUGGGACAGGGCCAAAGUGAUAAAACCUGUCAACAACAUAGAACAAAUCAGACUAGCAGAGGCCAUGGUCGUUAAUCACUACAGAAACAGAUUUUUUGUACUUGAUAAAUAAUCUGCCAUGUAACAUACUGACACCCUGGAGUUGUAUGUAAAACAUUUUGUUAUCA